AGAAAAGACGGGGUCCAGAGCUUCAAGCAAAAAGAGCAGCCUCAAGAACACUUUCAGUUUGCUUAGUAGUAGUACCAACACCAUUUGUAGAAUAGCCACUAUAUCGAGGAUGAUGUAAUCGUCAAGAAUAAUAAGGAUCUAUCAAGGGAUAAUGGUGAGGCCAACAAUACAACUGGUGGUGUGCGAAGUGAUGUGAUUUCUUACUCGUUCCACCCGAAGGGAACACUUCUCUGCAACCACAAGGUUCUCAUUCAAACGCGACAGAAGGCUAAACAGAGAACUACCGACGGAGGUUUCUUUUAAAGGAUCCCUAACAUAAGAAUUCGUUCCAUAAAUUCAUAAAUAAAACACCAAGUGAAGCAUGAAACUACAUCAUUUCCACAACACAAUUUUCAUAUGGUUUUCCCUUUUGGAAGGCCCCGAAGGGAUUAGAAAAAAGGAUACCUUAUUAUCAGGCGAUGAUAGCACUUUCGAUAUGGUGGCUAUUCUACAAGUGGUGGUGUUACUACUAGUAAGGAAAGUGAGAGUAGUAUGGAGGCUGCUCUUCUUGCUCGUAACUCUGGACUCCGCCUCUUCUGUGUGUGUUCUCCACAGCGUUGAGUCCUCCUUCUUUUAUAGUGUAGGAGGGAUGCUAGAUGCUCCCUUCUUUAUUCUUCCGCGUCAUACUUGGAGACUGAAGUACACCAUAGCUUGAUGCCUUAUGCAUUGCUGAAGUGCCCCAAAGUUUGCACAAUCAUGCCUUGCAUGACUCCCAUGCUAGACUAAUGUUUAUGUGCACACCGAGAACUUUGUCUAGACUGAGAACUUUGUCUGGACCGAGGACUUUGUUAUGGCUGAAAUCCUGGCUUCUCGUUGCAUGAUAAGAUAUAUUUAUCUUAUUUUAUUUUUAUUUUUUAUUGAGAGUCUUCCCCGCCAAUAUAUUUGAUAAUACAUUAUCAAUAUUCAGAUUCGCUCC
Molecule: long non-coding RNA, 955 nt
Organism: Triticum dicoccoides
Lineage: Eukaryota; Viridiplantae; Streptophyta; Magnoliopsida; Poales; Poaceae
Exons: 3
Source: RefSeq, a predicted model, not a curated record